AUGAGCAAGGCACUCAGCCCGCGCUACCAGGGAUUAUCCACUUACGAGAAAGAGUACUUGGCUAUUAUUGUGGCUGUUGAUCAGUGGCGCCCGUACCUUCAACAUGCAGAGUUUUAUAUCCUGACCGAUCAGAAGAGCCUGGUGCACCUGGAAGAGCAACGUUUGACAACCCCCUGGCAGCAAAAGGCAUUCACAAAACUUCUCGGCCUGCGCUAUCCGAAUCGUUAG
RNAcentral lists this ribosomal RNA (228 nucleotides) under Triticum aestivum (bread wheat). Its description in RNAcentral is "partial small subunit ribosomal RNA". Lineage: Eukaryota; Viridiplantae; Streptophyta; Magnoliopsida; Poales; Poaceae. The record is from RNAcentral.